This 765-nucleotide ribosomal RNA is filed under the name uncultured bacterium. RNAcentral describes it as "bacterial SSU rRNA". It matches the Rfam family "Bacterial small subunit ribosomal RNA", at positions 86 to 865 of the family's 1533-position model. The record is from RNAcentral.
GAAGACCUAGUGGCGAACGGGUGAGUAGCACGUGAGCAACCUGCCCCGAAGACCGGGACAACACCGGGAAACCGGUGCUAAUACCGGAUAUCCCCACCAGAUCGCAUGUUUUGGUGAGGAAAUGGAUUCCGCUUCGGGAGGGGCUCGCGGCCUAUCAGCUUGUUGGUGGGGUAACGGCCUACCAAGGCAUCGACGGGUAGCUGGUCUGAGAGGACGAUCAGCCACACUGGGACUGAGACACGGCCCAGACUCCUACGGGAGGCAGCAGUGGGGAAUCUUGCACAAUGGGCGAAAGCCUGAUGCAGCAACGCCGCGUGAGGGACGAAGGCUUUCUGAGUUGUAAACCUCUUUCAGCAGGGACGAUAAUGACGGUACCUGCAGAAGAAGCCCCGGCCAACUACGUGCCAGCAGCCGCGGUAAUACGUAGGGGGCAAGCGUUGUCCGGAUUCAUUGGGCGUAAAGAGCUCGUAGGCGGCUUGGCAAGUCGGAUGUGAAACCUCCAGGCUUAACCUGGAGCCGCCAUUCGAUACUGCCAUGGCUAGAGUUUGGUAGGGGACCACGGAAUUCCUGGUGUAGCGGUGAAAUGCGCAGAUAUCAGGAGGAACACCAGCGGCGAAGGCGGUGGUCUGGGCCAAUACUGACGCUGAGGAGCGAAAGCGUGGGGAGCGAACAGGAUUAGAUACCCUGGUAGUCCACGCCGUAAACGUUGGGCACUAGGUGUGGGGACCUAUCGACGGUUUCUGUGCCGCAGCUAACGCAUUAAGU